CUCCUUCCUUGUCUCCAGUUACCAUGGUGAUGUCCCUUCCAUAUGUUUCAUGAGAAGCCACAGCUUCCCCCAUCAGCCUAGGGCCCAGCACCUGCUUAGCCUGGCUGAACGAGCUCUUCUUAGUCGUCACACAGCCCCCCUCCCUCACAGGUUCCACCCCCACCCUCCGAAAACCUAAGCCCAACGGAAGCUGAUGCCCUUUCCGAUGUUGCUUGAGAAAAGCUGAUGGCGCUUACUUGAGAGCCGGCUUCGAUCAGACCAUCUGCAGAUCUUUCCUUUACCUCUGACAUUUCUUGCUUCACCUUUGGAUGUCUUAUGUUCUCUGGGGGAAGAGAGAUUCAGUGGUAACAUUUCCUUCCUCCCACAAACAUUUCUAAGGAUACCCCUUUGUUUGUUUACUACCGAAGGAGUCCUGGAAGAAAAGCGUUAUGUACAUGUAAAAGACCCCUGCUAAUGCAGGUAGGAAACGAGCAGAAGAUGGUCCAAGUCCUUGAGCUCCGAGACCCAGAUGGAGUUCCAGGAUCCUUGUGCAGCUUCACUACCAUGUCGUUAGCUGCACAUUGAAUUGCCUGCUCUUCUCAGGACUAGGAAUACUCCUUCCAUUUAAGCUGAUGUCUUGAGCUUGAAACUUCAGACAUUUUCUUCAUGGAGGUGCAGAAACUACAGCUCUGAUUUCAGCUUGAUGUGAUUCAAAACAGCCUAUGAUGCUGUAGGCUUAACCACCAAGCUGGUCUACAGCAAUUCCAACCAGGCGGAGACUGACCAGCAAAGGCAAAUAGACGCCUGCUAGCUACAGAUGACACCGGAACCAAAGUCGUACCCCUUCCCCCACAAACACCUGCUCCACCCCUGCCCAGAUUCAAAAACUGGAGGAGGAACGGAAACAGGAGAAACGGAAGCUUUAUGACGUGAGGAGCCCGGAGAUGACGACAUCCGCCCACUUGUCAGUUCCUGGUACAGAUUCUUUCGCUGUCCAAUCGCGGAUUACGCUGUUGAUGCGUCCACUUCCCAACUACUUUUUUUCUGAGUCCAUAAAACUUCCCAGACUCCCGGUCAGGAAAACAGAGAUAGGGUUUACCCAGUUCUUCGUGUUGGCAGCAACGCGUUAAAUCUUCUUUUCCCCGAAGCUCAGUGACAGGCUGGCUCUGUGCCCAGUGGGCGGUAAGCUUGAACUCCUGGCUCUAGAACUUAUGAAAUACAUUUUCAGUCUUUCAGUCUGAUGAAGUUUUAAUUGUUGAAUCUGGCUUGAUCUGAGUGGUUUGGACUUUUUACCCUGUCAUUUAUAAAGCAAAGGUGAAGUGUUCUCAUAAUAGUAGUUCAUACUAAGAGACCAUGAGGUAGGGGUCUUUCAAGAUUUCCAAAAGCAUUUUACAGCAAUGCAUGGUAUAUCAACACUAGUAUACACCCUUACAACCAACAGACAAUUCUGUUACAUUGCGAACUCAUCACCUGGAUCCUGAGGGCAAUUUUUGUAGUGUUCAAAUGCUCCUUUUCCUGAAGAAGGUAUUCAGUGUAUGGGCCGUAUCUUCAGCAGCCAGGAGCGUUUACAUCUACAUCGACUUAAAGGAACAUGGUCAUAUUUCUCUUGUUACUCGAAGGUAAGACUGUAUGGCACAGGAAACUAGGAAGAAAAUGUGGAAGACAAAGACCAGAUUCUGCUCGGCAGAAUAUUCUAUGGACAGAGCAACUGAUUCCUCCACUCCUCUGUGCUGCCCAGCGCUAUAUUAACAGAUACACUGAAGUCUGGGAGUGUUAGGGGCCCCGUGCAGGGCCAUCCAGCCCACCUAACCAUGGCUGGGGGGUGGGUAGACAUAAGGAGCACACGGAAUUCCACCACUUUGCACAUACCUGCAGGGGGGCAUGCCAGCACACUGCAGUACAUGGGCAAAGUGCUUGGUACCAAGCCAACCAGAACAGUAUUGAUACAGCUGCAGGGCUUAUUGACCUGAAGACUACAGGGCAAGAACUCUUUAUAAUGGAAAUAACUAGAGCCCAUAUCCUCUGCAACACAUUUACACUGAACCUUGGAAUAAUAAUCUCUUAUGGAUGUACCUAGCACACCUGAAAUCAUGUAUAAUAUGCUCAUAUAUAAUGCUUAAAUAAACAUCAUAAAUAUACUCAAGACGAAAUUAUUGAGUUUGUU
This is a non-coding RNA of Oryctolagus cuniculus (rabbit), 2143 nucleotides long. Lineage: Eukaryota; Metazoa; Chordata; Mammalia; Lagomorpha; Leporidae. The record is from RefSeq and is a predicted model, not a curated record.